Molecule: non-coding RNA, 93 nt
Organism: Ophidiomyces ophidiicola
Lineage: Eukaryota; Fungi; Ascomycota; Eurotiomycetes; Onygenales; Onygenaceae
Source: the annotation of a RefSeq genome assembly
GACACUGUGGCGGAGUGGUUAACGCGUUGGACUCGAAUCAUCGAUUGUCAUCCAAUCUCUUCGGAGGCGCAGGUUCAAAUCCUGCCGGUGUCG